This 2486-nucleotide long non-coding RNA is filed under the name Octopus vulgaris (common octopus). Lineage: Eukaryota; Metazoa; Mollusca; Cephalopoda; Octopoda; Octopodidae. The record is from RNAcentral.
GCCGGACAUAACAAUAAUAGACAGAGGGAAGAAAUUUUAAAUGACAUUUUUGUGGAGAUCCGGCCUGGGUAAUUACCAUAAACUGAAGUACUUGUUUCCUGGUAGAAAGUAAAAUAUCAUUUGGUAUAAUAACAAUGAAUGCACUUACUUACACCUAGUGGAUUUAGAUUAAAAACCAUCUAUUGCUCUCUGUUAACUGUAGAUUGUUCUAAAUAGAAGUAAACUGCCUUCCUUUUAUCUUAUUUGGUGGCCAGUUUUUUUGUUUGCUUUUAUAUUGUCCACAUCUAGAAAAUAGAUAGACAUGUACCUAACGGACACAGUCCAUUGUUGUCAGGCGUAGCUAUUAGAAUUAUCUCCCUUUUCUCAUGUUUCAGGCUAUCAAACUCAGCCAAGCUACCCGGGGUCGUGUCAUCCAGAUACCAGAUAUGGAAGAGUGAGCAGAAUGAUCAUGCAACAUCAUCUACAGCCAAUGCAAAAGAGAGCUGACCAAAAAGAUCACUCUGCUGGACAAAUUGUAGAAGCUAUCAUGUUGUCAGCAGCCAUGAGUGUGUUUAAUUUACAGUUGUUUCCUCGAAAAUUGAUCUCAUGGGCAUUAUUAUAUUAUUAUUGCAUAACAGGCAAACGUUUGUAUAUGUAGUGUCCUAGACACAAAAUCGAAGGUUGAUUCUUUGGAAACAUGUAUAAAAGUAAUUUUCAAGGAAAUAGAAAGACUUGCUCACUCCCUUCUCCUUGGUUAUAACUAUAGAAACUGUAGAUUUUUGCGAAUUUUCUGACAUUUAUUUGAUAUAACAAACAAUCUCUAAAUUACCACCUAUCUGAUAGCCUAAACCCAUGGAUGAGCUUUAUAGGAUAAACUUCAGAGCUAAUACACCAAUGAAAGUACGUGUGUGUGUGUGUAACAGUGACGUCACAGCUGAAUAAUUAUAACCAUUUAAGGAAAACAAAAACUAUUACAUUCACUUUCAUAUGUCUACUAUGAAGUGUCAACAGUUUUGAUUACACUUCCACUAUCUGAUCACAAACACAGUUUCGUGUGGAAACUUCCAAGACACAAGCAUUCUCUCUCUCUCUCUCUCUCUCUCUCUCUCUCUCUCUCUCUCUCUCUCUCUCUCUCUCUCUCACACACACACACACACACACACACACACACACACAUAUUUGUGAACAGAUACGACUCUUAAGUCAAAACAUGCACAAGGCCAGAAAUUUGGCAGAAGUUAGUAAAUUAGAUCAACCCCUGUACUUGACUAGUACUUUAUCAACCUCAGAGGUGUGAAAGGUAAUUUUGAAAGGUGACUUUGGAAAAACUCAAAAUAUAAAAGCCAAAACAAAUAUCACAAGGUACCUUUUCCAUCUGAUCUCCAGGUCCCACAUAUACAAGCUCCAUUCUUUUUUUAUUUUUUUUAUUUUUUUGCUGAUGCUGUAAUUAAUGUAAGACCGAGGAUGGUGGACACAAAAGGGAUGACAUGACAGUAGAGAGUUAUGUAUGGAGCUCAAAGGAGCAUGGCCACUGUAGUAGUGGUUGUAAAACCGAAGAGCUGACCUAGCUUAUCUGUGGGCCAAAAGGUGAAAUAUGUUGGUGAGUGACUUCAUGUCAACCAGAUAAAUAGCCUUUCUUUGGAUGCAAUCUUAUAUGGCAGCCAUAGCACUGUCCAAAAUGUGGGAGCAUUAUUACAUUAAGGUCUCACCAGAGAAUUAAUUAUAAAAAGUUCCUCUGAAGAAGUAGGCCAGUGGCUAUGCUGAAGAUAUGUGUUGUUCAGUGAUAGUUGUGCUUGGUAUUUGUAAUGUCCUUAGAUUAAUUAGUUGCGUGUUGGUCAAGUUUAGAAGGCUGGUAUAUAUUUUCAUAAAGUGUGUAUUGAGUGUUCCUUUGUGCUGUUGAAAGAGGCAAGAUUAAAACAAAGAUUCUACUGGAGGAAGUUUUGAAGGUCUAAGAUCAUGGAGGGAGUGCAGGUUUUGCAUGAAAUAUCUUAAGUUACAUGUGGAUGAUGCUUGGGAGCAGAAUGGUAAAGGGGAAUGAAAGUUGGUAUCAUACAUUUAAGAGUGAGCCAGUAAUACCAAGUAGAUAUUUGAUGUAUAGGAAGACGAGUGGAAAGGCUACAAAAGCAAACACUGUUGCACAACAGAGUUGAUAGGCUGUGGGUCAGCACAGGAGACCAAUAGACAAAAGAUGGAUGGAGCCCAUAGACUACCACUUUCACAUGGUCAAAUAUUUUAUUAGUUUUGAUGCAUUUUUUGUUUUGCUUCUUUCUUUUCUCCAAGACAUAUUUGUCAAUACCUUUAAAGGUGGCAUGAGCCAAACUAACUUCAUGCAGUAGAGAUCUAGAUAGUAGCAUUAAAAAUGUUAGAGACAGAAAACAAUACUGUAACUAGCAACAUCUAAGAAAGCAGAAUCUAAAGUAAAAAAUGUAAAAUUCUAAAAUGCAUCUCAAAUUUAUUAAUUUACUUCAUUUUAAUUUAAAAGUAAUUUGCUUCACAAUAAAUGUAAC